RNAcentral lists this ribosomal RNA (377 nucleotides) under uncultured Glomeromycotina. RNAcentral describes it as "eukaryotic LSU rRNA". Lineage: Eukaryota; Fungi; Glomeromycota. The record is from RNAcentral.
AGGGAAACGAUUGAAGUCAGUCGUACCUAUGGGUAAUCAGCCUUUUGGGUGUGAUUUUGUGGAGCGUGAUGAGUUAAACGCCUUCAUGCCUGCAUAUUCGUGCACUUUGGGUGUACUUGCCCGUGUGUAAGUUAACAUCAAUUUUGGUGGUCAUAAAAUGGCUGGAGGAAUGUAGCUUCGAUCUUGUAUUGAAGUGUUUAUAGCCUUCGGUAGAUGUGACGAUCGGGAUUGAGGAUUGCAACGGAUACCCUUCGGGGCUACCUGUCUGAUCUCUGAUUGUUGCUCUGGUGCCGAAAGCUUGCUUACGGUUAUUAAAGUCGAUGGUCAAUAGGUUAGAAUGGGUUAAAUUCGUUAAGGAUGUUGACGUAAAUCACUAG